GCAAACUUGGUCAUUUAGAGGAAGUAAAAGUCGUAACAAGGUUUCCGUAGGUGAACCUGCGGAAGGAUCAUUAUUGAAUUUAAAUCUUGAUGAUGGGUUGUAGCUGGCUCUUCGGAGCAUGUGCACACUCGUCAUACACUAUUUAAUCCACCUGUGCACAAUCUGUAGUCUUGAAAGAGAUUAGAAUGACUUGAACCUUUAACCUGAUCGGCAUCCGUCGGAGUCCGGGAUUGCUAUACGAAAGUAUGGCUAUCUUUGAACUUGAAGGCAAAGGUUAUGACUUACUUUCGAGUCUAUGUGUCUUAUACACUACAUAGUAUGUCGCAGAAUGUAUUGAAUGGGCCUUUGUGCCUAUAUAAAUCAUAUACAACUUUCAGCAACGGAUCUCUUGGCUCUCGCAUCGAUGAAGAACGCAGC
Molecule: unclassified non-coding RNA, 417 nt
Filed under: uncultured fungus
Lineage: Eukaryota; Fungi
Description: partial contains small subunit ribosomal RNA, internal transcribed spacer 1, and 5.8S ribosomal RNA
Rfam family: Eukaryotic small subunit ribosomal RNA (bases 1-73)
Source: RNAcentral